GGAUAGCUCAGUUGGUAGAGCAUGAGACUCUCAGGGUUGUGGGUUUGAGCCCCAUGUUGAGCA
RNAcentral lists this transfer RNA (63 nucleotides) under Podarcis lilfordi (Lilford's wall lizard). RNAcentral's name for it is "tRNA.Undet". The stretch from base 4 to 55 matches the Rfam family "tRNA", at positions 8 to 63 of the family's 71-position model. From Rfam's summary of the family: Transfer RNA (tRNA) molecules are approximately 80 nucleotides in length. Their secondary structure includes four short double-helical elements and three loops (D, anti-codon, and T loops). Lineage: Eukaryota; Metazoa; Chordata; Lepidosauria; Squamata; Lacertidae. The record is from RNAcentral.